CGGGUUACAAAAGAAUUAUUCUAACCUCCGCUUUGGAAUGAGUUCUUUUUACCCUCCAUCAUUUUAGAUGAAGGGUGAAAGUCGGUAACGAAGGUCUUCGCUUAGACUGAACGUUGCGGAAAGGAUCAAUWG
RNAcentral lists this ribosomal RNA (132 nucleotides) under Swertia chirayita. Its description in RNAcentral is "partial 18S ribosomal RNA". The record is from RNAcentral. Lineage: Eukaryota; Viridiplantae; Streptophyta; Magnoliopsida; Gentianales; Gentianaceae.